This 484-nucleotide ribosomal RNA is filed under the name uncultured bacterium. RNAcentral describes it as "partial 16S ribosomal RNA". It matches the Rfam family "Bacterial small subunit ribosomal RNA", at positions 29 to 507 of the family's 1533-position model. The record is from RNAcentral.
AUUGAACGCUGGCGGCAUGCUUUACACAUGCAAGUCGAACGGCAGCGCGGGCUUCGGCCUGGCGGCGAGUGGCGAACGGGUGAGUAAUACAUCGGAACGUGCCCAGUAGUGGGGGAUAGCUCGGCGAAAGCCGGAUUAAUACCGCAUACGACCUGAGGGUGAAAGCGGGGGAUCUUCGGACCUCGCGCUAUUGGAGCGGCCGAUGGCAGAUUAGCUAGUUGGUGGGGUAAAGGCCUACCAAGGCGGCGAUCUGUAGCUGGUCUGAGAGGACGACCAGCCACACUGGGACUGAGACACGGCCCAGACUCCUACGGGAGGCAGCAGUGGGGAAUUUUGGACAAAGGGCGAAAGCCUGAUCCAGCAAUGCCGCGUGUGUGAUGAAGGCCUUCGGGUUGUAAAGCACUUUUGGCGGGAACGAAAAGGACUGUGCCAAUACCACGGUUCGAUGACGGUACCCGCAGAAUAAGCACCGGCUAACUACGUG